AUUGAAAGCUGGCGGCAGGCCUAACACAUGCAAGUCGAACGAGUGGCGGAAGGGUGAGUAAUGUCUGGGAAACUGCCCGAUGGAGGGGGAUAACUACUGGAAACGGUAGCUAAUAACGCAUCCCAUCGGAUGUGCCCAUAGGGGAUUGGCUAGUAGGUGGGGUAACGGCUCACCUGGGCGACGAUCCCUAGCUGGUCUGCGAGGAUGACCAGCCACACUGGGACUGAGACACGGUCCAGACUCCUACGGGAGGCAGCAGUGGGGAAUAUUGCACAAUGGGCGCAAUCCUGAUGCAGCCAUGCCGCGUGUAUGAAGAAGGCCUUCGGGUUGUAAAGUACUUUCAGCGGGUAGGCGUUACCCGCAGAAGAAGCACCGGCUAACUCCGUGCCAGCAGCCGCGGUAAUUC
RNAcentral lists this ribosomal RNA (406 nucleotides) under uncultured bacterium. Its description in RNAcentral is "partial 16S ribosomal RNA". It matches the Rfam family "Bacterial small subunit ribosomal RNA", at positions 30 to 526 of the family's 1533-position model. The record is from RNAcentral.